AUUGAACGCUGGCGGCAGGCCUAACACAUGCAAGUCGAACGAGUGGCGGACGGGUGAGUAAUGUCUGGGAAACUGCCCGAUGGAGGGGGAUAACUACUGGAAACGGUAGCUAAUACCGCAUACCCUCGGAUGUGCCCAGAUGGGAUUAGCUUGUAGGUGAGGUAACGGCUCACCUAGGCGACGAUCCCUAGCUGGUCUGAGAGGAUGACCAGCCACACUGGAAGUGAUACACGGUUCAGACUCCUACGGGAGGCAUCAGUGGUGAAUAUUGCACAAUGGGCGCAAUCCUGAUGCCGCCAUGCCGCGUGUAGGAAGAGGGCCUUCGGGUUGUAAAUUACUUUCAGCGGGGAGGCGUUACCCGCAGAAGAAGCACCGGCUAACUCCGUGCCAGCAGCCGCGGUAAUUC
Molecule: ribosomal RNA, 406 nt
Filed under: uncultured bacterium
Lineage: Bacteria
Description: partial 16S ribosomal RNA
Rfam family: Bacterial small subunit ribosomal RNA
Source: RNAcentral